This 305-nucleotide ribosomal RNA is filed under the name uncultured bacterium. RNAcentral's name for it is "partial 16S ribosomal RNA". It matches the Rfam family "Bacterial small subunit ribosomal RNA", at positions 505 to 809 of the family's 1533-position model. The record is from RNAcentral.
ACAGCAGUCGCCACGGUAAUACGUAGGGUGCGAGCGUUAAUCGGAAUUACUGGGCGUAAAGCGUGCGCAGGCGGUUUUGUAAGACAGGCGUGAAAUCCCCGGGCUCAACCUGGGAAAGGCGCUUGUGACUGCAAAGCUAGAGUGCGGCAGAGGGGGAUGGAAUUCCGCGUGUAGCAGUGAAAUGCGUAGAUAUGCGGAGGAACAUCGAUGGCGAAGGCAAUCCCCUGGGCCUGCACUGACGCUCAUGCACGAAAGCGUGGGGAGCAAACAGGAUUAGAUACCCCGGUAGUCCCUGUCUCUUAUAA